RNAcentral lists this ribosomal RNA (772 nucleotides) under Paphiopedilum emersonii. Its description in RNAcentral is "eukaryotic LSU rRNA". The stretch from base 315 to 470 matches the Rfam family "5.8S ribosomal RNA". The record is from RNAcentral. Lineage: Eukaryota; Viridiplantae; Streptophyta; Magnoliopsida; Asparagales; Orchidaceae.
AACAAGGUUUCCGUAGGUGAACCUGCGGAAGGAUCAUUGUUGAGAUCACAUAAUAAUUGAUCGAGUUAAUCCAGAGGAUCGGUUUACUUUGGUCACCCAUGGGCGCUUGCUAUUGCGGUGACCUAGAUUUGCCAUGGAGAGCCUCCUUGGGAGCUUUCUUGCCGGCGAUCUAACCCUUGCCCGGCGCGGUUUUGCGCCAAGUCAUAUGACACAUAAUUGGUGAAGGGCAUAGCCCUUCGUGAAUUCAAGGAGGGGGGGCGGCAUGUGGCCUUGACCCUGCACUCGCUCUCCCCCUCUCAAAUUAUUUUCUGAACAACUCUCAGCAACGGAUAUCUCGGCUCUUGCAUCGAUGAAGAACGCAGCGAAAUGCGAUAAGUGGUGUGAAUUGCAGAAUCCCGUGAACCAUCGAGUCUUUGAACGCAAGUUGCGCCCGAGGCCAUCAGGCCAAGGGCACGCCUGCCUGGGCAUUGCGAGUCAUCUCUCUCCCUCAAUGAGGCUGUCCAUGCAUACUGUUCAGCCGGUGCGGAUGUGAGUUUGGCCCCUUGUUCUUUGGUGCUGGGGGUCUAAGAGCAGCAGGGGCUUUUGAUGGUCCUAAAUUCGGCAAGAGGUGGACGAAUCAGGCUACAACAAAACUGUUGUUGUGCGAAUGCUCCAGGUUGUCGUAUUAGAUGGGCCGGCAUAAUCCAGAGACCCUUGGGAACCCCAUUGGAGGCCCAUCAACCCAUGAUCAGUUGAUGGCCAUUCGGUUGCGACCCCAGUCAGGUGAGGCAAC